This 7803-nucleotide long non-coding RNA is filed under the name Pelobates cultripes (western spadefoot toad). Lineage: Eukaryota; Metazoa; Chordata; Amphibia; Anura; Pelobatidae. The record is from RNAcentral.
GUAAGUAUUAUCGCUCAACCGGGAACAAAAGAAAAACAAAACUAAAUAAUAAACAAAAUACAAAGUACGAGCAGUUUGUACAAUAAUGUGACAUUUUAUUAGUUUUUGUACAAUAGACUUCUUCUCCUUUUUGUAUACGUUAUUUAAAACACUUGAAUACUGAAAAAAAUUUGGUACAUCAAAGCCGAAAAAAAUUGGCUCUGCUAUACCCUGCACAGCAUUGAUUUAGUCCCUGUAUUUUUUUUGUAUAUACAGAAAGCAUUUGCAAAAUUCAUCCUAAACACAUUAUACACCUUACCAAUUUAAUAAAUCAAUACAUAGGUUAAACUGGAAGUAUACACCUUGUCAUGUGCAAAAUAACGUAACGAAAAUUGAUUUCACUGAAUCAAUGUGUAAAAUAUAGCUUUUGUACUUCCUGCACAUACAGUAAAGCAGCUUUCAAUUUCAGUAAAUCCUUUAAACUUCAAAAACGUGUAUUACAUUCACAAUUUAUUUUAAUAAACUAGUAAAUAUUUAGUGCCUCAGCUUAAUUUACAUCCAUCAUAUAAACUGAAAAGUACAGUUUUUAUUUUUUUUAAUAAUAUAGCAUUUUUUUCACACAUACAAAAUGACAAUUUUCAGAAAUAAUUUUAAGCUCAAAACCACAACUUUUCUUUAAAAUAAAUAAGUAAAAAUGAAAAACAAUAUAAAAUGGAAAGAAAAAGAAAAGAAUUAAAGACCGCCACCUGCGUCAAUGUUAAACAUUUUCUUUUCGUAGUUUUUCGUAUUAACCCUCUGGCCCCCAAACGGUUAAAAUAUUUAUAUAUUUUAUAGUUCUAUAUAAAAGUUUGGCUAUUUUUCUAAUAAAGCUAACAAUGAUCUGAAUUUUAUCACAAGUAGGAAAACUAUUCAAAUGUUCCUUCACUGUUAUUCAAAAUUUCACCAUUGUUAUAAAUGGUUCGAAAAAAAGCAUUUAUGAAGUGUGAAUGAUUUUUGUAGCUUAAAAAACAUACAAGAGACUGGGUUGUAGAAUGAUGCAUCAAGAAAUGUGGUCCCCACCUCCCCCCCCUCUUUAGGCGAUAUCAUUUAUUCACUAGACAGAACUAAGAAGAAUUAACAAAGGAAUUUCAAAUAUUAGGUAAAAAAUAAAUAAAUACGGGUUUGGAAAAAAGUUUCCAGAUUGUUUUGAUUUAAAAUUUUCAAUUUCCUCUCUUAAUUUUUACAAUUAUGUAUUUACUGAAUAAAUAUUUUAAUUAAGAAGUAUUAAAGUGGUUCAUUCACUAAACAGCAAAUAGUAAUGAUUUGAAAACUUAUUUUCCAAAAUGAGGCAAAAACAAAAUACUUUUGACUAAAGCGGAAUUCGAGAAUGUUUGCAAAUAAGCCCAUAUUGCUAACAUUUUACAAUUCGGCUUACAUAUCAGUACAAUUACAAUUUGUUGUUUACAGAAUAAACUUUGUGUCUGUGCAUUUUUAUAUUAAAAUUACCAAUUUUCCUGGGCAACAGAUAUUUAGGAGUUAUUCCCUAAGCAAUGAACUGCCAGCCUUCCAAACUGAAUUCAAGAUUCCUUUCACACAGUUUGACAAAACACUCUUUAACGAAUACAGUACAUUGUGCAUGUUAACAAAAAUGUGUCACAAAUCUGUUACAUUGUGACCUAAAACAAUAGCAGGAUCUUGCAAUAGAGCAUGUAGAACCUCUUCCUUAUAAUACAGGAGCUAGUGAUUCACGCAGCUAGAUAUACAAUUCCUAACACACACAGAAAAAUAGUUAGGACUUGUAUAUAUUUUAGGGCCAUGCAGGUACAACAAGCAACUGCUCAACUUGUAUAGAUACAAUGUAGAAAAGAAAUAUCAAUGGGAUGGGGGUUAGUGGUUUUAACCCCUUAAGGACCAAACUUCUGGAAUAAAAGGGAAUCAUGACAUGUCAGACGUCAUGUGUCCUUAAGGGGUUAAACAAAAUGCAUUCCCAAAAGAUUAAGCUUAGUUCUAUUAAACUUAUAGCGCUGACUCACAGAGCAGAAACAAUUCUCCCCAGAUGAAAAUAAAACUUGUGGUUUGUUAAAGGAACCCUAACACAUCCAGAUCUUUGCUUUUAACUUGGUUUUGCAAGAAAGAUGCCCAUAGCAUAAAGUCUAGACUCUCUAUAUGUUAAAAAAUCUUAAUUAUGGGGUACAAGAUGUAAAGAAAGAUACUGAAUUCACCGGGUGUUAAUCCCUUAUUGAAAUCUGUUCCUGUGGCAAAAGCAUGCAUUCAACUGCACACAUUCUGCAAAUAUGACAUAGUGGCAUUUUAGAAUUAAUACAAUUUCUUCUCGGUCUUGGAUCCAGCAGAUUAGUCCCAGUUUAAAACCCCAGUUCUGUUUUUUCUGGUGACCCACUAGAGAAGGAUUAACAUUCCACGGGGCCCUAUGCAGGUCACCAGUUUGGGACCCUUUCAUUCUUUGCAUAAGGAUGGCUAAUGGGGCCAAGCCAAUGAAUAGUUCCAAGGUCCCUGUCUAACCUCUGGACCCUAGGUAGCUGCCUAGGAUCAUCUUAUGGUUAAUCCUGCUCUGUAACCUGCUUCUAGGGCAUGCACUCAGUGUGUGUAAGGGGGGGAGGGGGUGGCUGAAGAAACUUCCCUAGCUGAGAGGUGUGCCCCAAAAUUCAAUGGGACCCAUUUACACUACGUUUUAAAAUGUUAAUUACUACCUUUCAAAGCUUGCAUUGCUUUAUUUUGGUUUGUAUAUUUGUUUAAAAGUGAUUGCAUUAUCACAAGUAUUGCACAGCAUGGAACACUCGCUGUAUGCAUGUAUUACACCUUUACAUAAUACAUGCAUUUUGCUUUAAGUUGUAACUGGAGCCGUCUCUGACUGGGUGUCUGGCAGGGUUAAUUACUAAAUUGAGAAUUCAAAUUGAAUUCAAAAUGGAUUUCAAAUAUAAAGUCAAAAUAGCCAAACCGGAAAUAUUCUCUAAAUCAGUUGUAAUUCCAUUUCAGCUACUUAGGCCUUAAAUGGGAAAAUCACUUUCAUUUAACUUUGAAUUCUCCUUUUAGUGAAUAGCCCUGAUAGAAGCACUUUAAAAUAAUCCACAAGUUAGAGGAAUGUGAGAGUGGUACGUCAUCACGAAAUGCACAAGAAGGGAAAGAGAUAAAAGAUUUUUUGGAAUGUGGGCUGACGGUAUUGUCUAAACAAAAUCUGGGAAUUGGGGGCACACCCAGAACAUGCAUUUCUGAGUUGUGGUGCUGCCCAAAAACAAAAACCAGUUAAAGGAACAUUGCACACAAAAAAAACAAAAAUGCAGUUUUACCUUUCACGAGGAUACAAAUCUACAGUUAUAAAUUAAACUCACACUGGAGACAGAGACCCACAGUACCUGUGACAAUAUUGUUUUAUGUAACCUGAUUAGAUGGACUGUAGAAAUGCAAGUUUAUAAUGUUGUUUCCGGUAAAAUCCAACACUAUCAACGUGUUAAAGCUCAUUUCUGGAGUAAAACUCAUAGGAUUCAGAAUCAAGUCUUCAUACAGUUUAAACCAUGGCUCCCAAUAGUCCCAGGUUUUGUGAGACGCUCUCCCACUUUUGUUCCCUGGUGGCCUACGACUGCGUCACAGCACCCCAACAUCUGUGGGUCCCACACCAAUUCCAACAUGGGAGAUUUACAUGGGACCCACAGGGGUGCUGUGAUGCAGUGGUGGGCUUGAUACAAUGUAAAUCACCAUAACUGUUUGCUAAGAUAGGUGAUUUUAAAUGGCCUUGUGAAAUGUAAAACUGUAUUUUUGUUUUUGUGUGUGAGAGUCCAGCAAUAUGGUUCUCAACAUCUAUGCCAUCUAAUCACGAUUUGUUUUUAAAUAAAAAGCUGACUUGACAUCACUCUGGCAAGACCCAAUCAAGGAUACGCAUGCAUAUGGAGGGCCGUCUUUAACGCGGGGCAAACGGGGCAGUUGCCCCGGGCCCAGUUGCUCCUGGGGGCCCCCAGAGCAGCUGCCCCGUGGGCCCCGCGAUUUGAGCAGCCCCCAAGGACCUGGUAGUGCGGCUACACAGAGCUACACCAGCCGCACACUAAGGAGGCCCCCGGGUGGCCCAUGCACUAAGGGCCACCCAGUGGGCAUAUGUCAGCAGGGGCCGCGCGUCACUUUCUCCCACCGGAGAUCACAGCCGCGCGGGAGGAGAAAGGCAGGGAGGAGGGGAGUUCCAGAGGAGAACUCAUCUGCCUCAGCCUGCCACUGGACCCCAGGGAAUCCACCCUCCAGAAAAAGGUAAGAACCUUGAGGGUGGUUAAAUGUAUGUCUGUGUGUGUGUCAGUAUGUCUGUCUGCAUGUUAGUAUGUCUGCGUGUGUGUGUGUGUGUCAGUAUGUCUGUGUGUGUAUUUAUGUGUGUGUGUGUGUGUCAGUAUGUCUGAAUGUGUGUCAAUAUGUCUGCCAGUAUAUAUUUGUGUGUCAGUAUGUAUCUGCAAAUGUUUUAAUAUGUCUGUCUAUGUGUGUAUGUGUCAGUAUGUCUGUCUGUGUUAUUGUGGGUUGUGCAUAAUUGGGGUUUAGAGGGGGGGGGGGGGGGGAGGAGCAGGGCCCAAGAAGCCCAAGAAAAUGCAUUGCCCAGGGGUCCUAAUCAUAUUAUAGACUCCCUAGGUAAAUGUCCUGAGUUCAGUUUGCGCCGCGUGAGACAGUCUGCUGCACUUGCUGACGAUAGUUCCCAAGAUGUGGGACACCAAGGAACAAAAGUGGGAGAGCGGGAGAGGUUCCCAAAAAUAAGACUGUCUCACAAAACCUGGGACUAUUGGGAGAUAUGGUUAAAAUUGAUGAAGACUUAAAGGACCACUAUAGUGCCAGGAAAACACACUCUUUUUCCUGGCACUAUAGUGCCCUGAGGUUGCCCCCACCCCUCAGGGUCCCCCUCCCACCGGGCUCUAGGGGGUGGAAGGGGUUAAACUUACCUCUUUCUCCAGCACCGGGUGGGGGACUCUCCGCCUCCUCCUCGGCUGAAUGCGCAUGCGCGGCAGGAGCCACGCGCACAUUCAGCCAGUCCAUAGGAAAGCAUUCACAAUGCUUUCCUAUGGACGCUGAGGUCUUCUCACUGUGAAAAUCACAGUGAGAAGUGCGGAAGCGCCUCUAGCGGCUGUCAAUGAGACAGCCACUAGAGGCUGGAUUAACCCUAAGUUUCUCUGAAACUGCUAUGUUUAUAGAAAAAAAGGUUAAACCUAGCUGGACCUGGCACCCAGACCAACUCAUAGAAUUCAUUUAAUUCUGAAUCCUAUGAGUUUUACUCCAGAAAUGUGCUUUAACACGUUGAUAGUGUUGGCUUUCAUUGGAAACAAAAAUAUAAACUUGCAUUUCUACAGUCCAUCUAAUCAGGUUACAUAAAACAAUAUUGUCACAAGUACUGUGGGUCUCUGUCUCCAGUUUGAGUUUAAUUUGUAACUGUAGAUUUACAAUACAUGCUACGUUUUGUAACAUUAUUGGAAAUUCUACCGUUUACUUUUAAUUCUAUAAGAAGUCUGCAUUUUGUAUUAGAUUGAAGGCUGCUAUUGUUAUAUUAACAAAGAAACACUAUAGUGACCAGAACAACUAGAAACAUAGAAUGUGAUGGCAGAUAAUAAUCAUUCGGCUCAUCUACUCUGGCCAAUUUUCUAAAUACUUUCAUUAGUAUCUAGCCUUAUGCCUAUCCCCCCGCAUGCUUAAACUCCCUCACAGUGUUAACCUCUACCACUUCAGCUGGAAGGCUAUUUCAUGCAUCCUCUACCCUCUCUGUAAAAUAAUACUACAGCUUAAUGUAGUUGUUCUGGUGAGUAUAAUCAUUACCUUCAGGCAUUUUCAUGCAAAUACUGCGUUUUUAGAGAAAAGGGCAGUGUUUACAUUGCCCCCUAGAGACACCUCCAGUGGCCACUCCUCAGAUGGCCAGUGGAGAUGCUUCCUGGCUUAGUGUUGCACAGCAGGCAGCAGUGCCGUUUAGUGUCUCCACGCUCUGCAUGGAGACGAUGACAUUUUCUCAUACAGAUGCAUUGAUUCAAUUCAUCUCCAUGAGGAGGUGCUGAUUGGCCAAAACGGCGCUUGGACUCCUCCCCAUCCCGCCUUCAUGACGAUUUCCAUAUGCGAAAGCAUUGGAUUGGCUAAAAAUGGUAAAUUCUGAUGAUGAUGAUGAUGAUGAAAUAAGGUAAGUUUUAACCCCUAAGGGGGGGGGGAGGAGAGGGGUAAGCCACAUAAAUGGUGGUUUUAACACUUUGGGGUCAGGAAUACAUGUUUAGCAGUGGGCAUAUUUCAAAAUACGGACAGUGUUAAAAUGUGUCUAUGGUAAUACCUUUAGUAAUCAUGAUAUUCACAAAUUAUACGAUUAAAAAUAUAUAUAUAGUCACUGAGAGAAAGAAUUAUUUCAGUCGAUACAAUUAAAUAUAAAAAAAAUAGGAGUUGCAAAAUGCAAUAAUUACGAGAUUCGUACAUGACAGAUCUCCACAAGCACAUGGCGAGAAUAACAGAGACACUGAUUGCGCUUUAUAAUCUCAAAGAGAGAUGUUGCUAUAAUAAUCUACAGGCAUGCAUUUAACCAAAUUGUCUUCUCAAUACUAGAUGCUUUUAAAUUAAUUAUUAUUCCAAUGUCUAUAUAAAUGAUCAACCCACACAAUGACUCUUCUAAAUUACGUUGGGGUUAAGCAAUAAAUGUUUAGCAAGGAAUUCAGGAUGAGAAGAUUUAAGAAUCUGUAUUCUAGCCUACCUUACACAAAGGCUUGUACACACAGAAACCUACACACCUUAUCAGAGGAUCGAAAAAAGGCUUUCAGAAUUCUCGCAUUCAAUAUAUGUGUUACAAUAAUAUCAGAAUUACACAAUAAAACAAUAAAUUGCCCCAGCUGUGUCUAAAAGCAUGAUUGCCUGUACACCAACAGAUUAUUAUUUUCAACAUAAAGUGCUAUCUGUUAAAAGAAUUGUCAAAGGCUUGGAGGACGGGACAUUGCCAUUUCUGUAUAAUAAUCUAGUGAACUCACAUAAGCCAAAUUUAAAAAUAUACUUCAACCAUUGGUCAACAUUUACACUUUUCAACUUGUGCACAAUCCGUGAUGUUUUAUAAAAGCAUUUUCAUCAGAUGAUUUAUGGUAACUCCUCGUGUGAAUUUGUACUUUUUAAAAAAUCAUGUAUUUUGCCCAAUUAUGAUUUUUCAAUAAAUUCAUAUAAUGAAAAAAAAAAUGCUUAUAUCUUAAUGUAAAAUACCACAUCUAUACAUUUGUUCCUAAUUUGGCUGAUAAAAAUAUGUAUUAUCUAGAGUACCACUAUGUCAUUUUGCCGAGGAUAGAAGCAUUUAAUACAAAAUAUAAUUUGAGAACAAUUUGGGUAAUCAAAAAUGUACAUUUGUUUUUUCAGGCAGCUAGAUCUUUUGGGCUUUUGUAUGUUUUUAAAUUUUGACAAAUUCUGCUUGUUUUCUCACAAAUCAGUGAACCCCCUAGAACAGUGAUGGUGAAUUCUGACACUGCAAAUGUUUGUGGACUUCAUUUCCUAUAAUGCACUAUAGGUUAGACAUCACUGGUCUGGGCUUCUGGGUGCUAGCAUUUACUAUCUGCAAUCAAGAUUUAAAAUUAUUUUAAAGUUUUCUGCAUUUUCCUCCUAGAAAGCAACAAAAAAUACAUAAUAUAAACUUGUAAAUAAAAAUAAUAAAUUAAUCUGCCAGUUUACAACUGGGUCAAACGUAUACAGUGCAACUAUGUAUCUGAAUCACUUUUAUUGAACAUUAUCCACAUAAGCGCUUGGAAAUAUAUAGAAGUAUUCUUGAUUAAUUAAGCCUAAAAUAAAGCAAACCACAUGCCUUCGAAAAGCUAACAGUGCUCAAAUCUCUGUCUUCGUUGCAUCAAAAAAAUCAUAGAGAUAUUUUAU